CUUUUUCAGGCUGAAGAUGUUGCCGCUGGUAGAGACGAUGGGAAAUCGUACUACGGCGGCGCAUGUCGGUCUAAGGGUGGAGGUUACUUUGCCAAUGGGCAAGGAAGGCCAAAGAAGGGAAGAGCUAGAGAAGCUAAGAGACAGACAC
Molecule: long non-coding RNA, 148 nt
Organism: Hibiscus syriacus
Lineage: Eukaryota; Viridiplantae; Streptophyta; Magnoliopsida; Malvales; Malvaceae
Exons: 3
Source: RefSeq, a predicted model, not a curated record